Nicotiana tabacum (common tobacco) is the source of this 620-nucleotide long non-coding RNA. RefSeq lists it as uncharacterized. NCBI's taxonomy places the organism in Eukaryota, Viridiplantae, Streptophyta, Magnoliopsida, Solanales, Solanaceae. The record is from RefSeq and is a predicted model, not a curated record.
UCUACUAUCUGAUCUUCGAGACUAGGAGAGAGACAUGGACAUGUCAAGCUUCUUGCUCUCGUAUCGCUUGGCCAAAGACCAUGGAUGAAGAACUGUUCCGGAAUUUUUCUUGAUUGCAGUUGCAUCUCACAGAAUGUUGGGCCAUUGUAGUACGUACUCCAUUAAAAGGAUAGAGAGGCAAGAAAUGGUUUGAGCCACACUCCCACAUAUCUUGUUAAUAUAUUUUGCAUCGGUGUAGCAGGUUCACGGUACAAAAGGUGGGAAGCCACUGGAAUACAAUCAUCGCUACUUGAUAUUGGGUCUAAUCAGUAGUAACUCAGGGGUGCAAAGAACAAUCAUUAGCCAGAGAACCACUAUCAACUCUCCAUAACUAAACACUACUUGUAACAAAUGUGUAUGAAAAGGAUUGGGUGAUUUGGGGUGAAUGAUGAUAAACUGGUGUGGUGGAUGACCGAUCUGCUAUUUAUAAAGGAUACUGGUCUCUCGUCACGUGCGUCGCACGUGUAUACCGAAUCAAUACACAUUUGUGUAAAAUAACAUUAAUAUUAGUACUACAAAAUUUUGAGUGAAUUUAUAGUAAAGCCCUGAAUCUAUGAAUAUGAACGAUAAAAUUUUAAUUA